RNAcentral lists this transfer RNA (89 nucleotides) under Candidatus Bathyarchaeota archaeon. RNAcentral describes it as "tRNA-Ala". It matches the Rfam family "tRNA". Rfam says of the family: Transfer RNA (tRNA) molecules are approximately 80 nucleotides in length. Their secondary structure includes four short double-helical elements and three loops (D, anti-codon, and T loops). The record is from RNAcentral. Lineage: Archaea; Thermoproteati; Candidatus Bathyarchaeota.
GCCGGGAUUCCUGAGCCUGGUACAGGGCAGUCCACGCCAGCCUGUGGUCCUUGCGGGCCGCGUGGGUUCAAAUCCCACUCCCGGCGCCA